UUAAGUUAUUAAGGGCGCACGGUGGAUGCCUUGGCACUAGAAGCCGAUGAAGGACGUUACUAACGACGAUAUGCUUUGGGGAGCUGUAAGUAAGCUUUGAUCCAGAGAUUUCCGAAUGGGGAAACCCAGCAUGAGUUAUGUCAUGUUAUCGAUAUGUGAAUACAUAGCAUAUCAGAAGGCACACCCGGAGAACUGAAACAUCUUAGUACCCGGAGGAAGAGAAAGAAAAUUCGAUUCCCUUAGUAGCGGCGAGCGAAACGGGAAGAGCCCAAACCAACAAGCUUGCUUGUUGGGGUUGUAGGACACUCUAUACGGAGUUACAAAGGACGACAUUAGACGAAUCAUCUGGAAAGAUGAAUCAAAGAAGGUAAUAAUCCUGUAGUCGAAAAUGUUGUCUCUCUUGAGUGGAUCCUGAGUACGACGGAGCACGUGAAAUUCCGUCGGAAUCUGGGAGGACCAUCUCCUAAGGCUAAAUACUCUCUAGUGACCGAUAGUGAACCAGUACCGUGAGGGAAAGGUGAAAAGCACCCCGGAAGGGGAGUGAAAUAGAACCUGAAACCGUGUGCUUACAAGUAGUCAGAGCCCGUUAAUGGGUGAUGGCGUGCCUUUUGUAGAAUGAACCGGCGAGUUACGAUUUGAUGCAAGGUUAAGCAGUAAAUGUGGAGCCGUAGCGAAAGCGAGUCUGAAUAGGGCGUUUAGUAUUUGGUCGUAGACCCGAAACCAGGUGAUCUACCCUUGGUCAGGUUGAAGUUCAGGUAACACUGAAUGGAGGACCGAACCGACUUACGUUGAAAAGUGAGCGGAUGAACUGAGGGUAGCGGAGAAAUUCCAAUCGAACCUGGAGAUAGCUGGUUCUCUCCGAAAUAGCUUUAGGGCUAGCCUCAAGUGAUGAUUAUUGGAGGUAGAGCACUGUUUGGACGAGGGGCCCCUCUCGGGUUACCGAAUUCAGACAAACUCCGAAUGCCAAUUAAUUUAACUUGGGAGUCAGAACAUGGGUGAUAAGGUCCGUGUUCGAAAGGGAAACAGCCCAGACCACCAGCUAAGGUCCCAAAAUAUAUGUUAAGUGGAAAAGGAUGUGGCGUUGCCCAGACAACUAGGAUGUUGGCUUAGAAGCAGCCAUCAUUUAAAGAGUGCGUAAUAGCUCACUAGUCGAGUGACACUGCGCCGAAAAUGUACCGGGGCUAAACAUAUUACCGAAGCUGUGGAUUGUCCUUUGGACAAUGGUAGGAGAGCGUUUUAAGGGCGUUGAAGCAUGAUCGUAAGGACAUGUGGAGCGCUUAGAAGUGAGAAUGCCGGUGUGAGUAGCGAAAGACGGGUGAGAAUCCCGUCCACCGAUUGACUAAGGUUUCCAGAGGAAGGCUCGUCCGCUCUGGGUUAGUCGGGUCCUAAGCUGAGGCCGACAGGCGUAGGCGAUGGAUAACAGGUUGAUAUUCCUGUACCACCUAUAAUCGUUUUAAUCGAUGGGGGGACGCAGUAGGAUAGGCGAAGCGUGCGAUUGGAUUGCACGUCUAAGCAGUAAGGCUGAGUAUUAGGCAAAUCCGGUACUCGUUAAGGCUGAGCUGUGAUGGGGAGAAGACAUUGUGUCUUCGAGUCGUUGAUUUCACACUGCCGAGAAAAGCCUCUAGAUAGAAAAUAGGUGCCCGUACCGCAAACCGACACAGGUAGUCAAGAUGAGAAUUCUAAGGUGAGCGAGCGAACUCUCGUUAAGGAACUCGGCAAAAUGACCCCGUAACUUCGGGAGAAGGGGUGCUCUUUAGGGUUAACGCCCAGAAGAGCCGCAGUGAAUAGGCCCAAGCGACUGUUUAUCAAAAACACAGGUCUCUGCUAAACCGUAAGGUGAUGUAUAGGGGCUGACGCCUGCCCGGUGCUGGAAGGUUAAGAGGAGUGGUUAGCUUCUGCGAAGCUACGAAUCGAAGCCCCAGUAAACGGCGGCCGUAACUAUAACGGUCCUAAGGUAGCGAAAUUCCUUGUCGGGUAAGUUCCGACCCGCACGAAAGGCGUAACGAUUUGGGCACUGUCUCAACGAGAGACUCGGUGAAAUCAUAGUACCUGUGAAGAUGCAGGUUACCCGCGACAGGACGGAAAGACCCCGUGGAGCUUUACUGUAGCCUGAUAUUGAAAUUCGGCACAGCUUGUACAGGAUAGGUAGGAGCCUUUGAAACGUGAGCGCUAGCUUACGUGGAGGCGCUGGUGGGAUACUACCCUAGCUGUGUUGGCUUUCUAACCCGCACCACUUAUCGUGGUGGGAGACAGUGUCAGGCGGGCAGUUUGACUGGGGCGGUCGCCUCCUAAAAGGUAACGGAGGCGCUCAAAGGUUCCCUCAGAAUGGUUGGAAAUCAUUCAUAGAGUGUAAAGGCAUAAGGGAGCUUGACUGCGAGACCUACAAGUCGAGCAGGGUCGAAAGACGGACUUAGUGAUCCGGUGGUUCCGCAUGGAAGGGCCAUCGCUCAACGGAUAAAAGCUACCCCGGGGAUAACAGGCUUAUCUCCCCCAAGAGUUCACAUCGACGGGGAGGUUUGGCACCUCGAUGUCGGCUCAUCGCAUCCUGGGGCUGUAGUCGGUCCCAAGGGUUGGGCUGUUCGCCCAUUAAAGCGGUACGCGAGCUGGGUUCAGAACGUCGUGAGACAGUUCGGUCCCUAUCCGUCGUGGGCGUAGGAAAUUUGAGAGGAGCUGUCCUUAGUACGAGAGGACCGGGAUGGACAUACCUCUGGUGUACCAGUUGUCGUGCCAACGGCAUAGCUGGGUAGCUAUGUGUGGACGGGAUAAGUGCUGAAAGCAUCUAAGCAUGAAGCCCCCCUCAAGAUGAGAUUUCCCAACUUCGGUUAUAAGAUCCCUCAAAGAUGAUGAGGUUAAUAGGUUCGAGGUGGAAGCAUGGUGACAUGUGGAGCUGACGAAUACUAAUCGAUCGAAGACUUAAUCAA
This 2921-nucleotide ribosomal RNA is filed under the name Staphylococcus aureus DAR3534. RNAcentral describes it as "bacterial LSU rRNA". It matches the Rfam family "Bacterial large subunit ribosomal RNA". The record is from RNAcentral. Lineage: Bacteria; Bacillati; Bacillota; Bacilli; Caryophanales; Staphylococcaceae.